UGCAUAUCAAUAAGCGGAGGAAAAGAAACCAACAGGGAUUGCCUCAGUAGCGGCGAGUGAAGCGGCAAGAGCUCAGAUUUGAAAUCUCACCUAGUGUGCGAGUUGUAAAUUGCAGGUUGGAGUCUCGGGUUAGACGUGUGUGCAAGUCCCUUGGAACAGGGYGCCACUGAGGGUGAGAGCCCCGUAGCGUGCAUGUCGACACCUGUGAGGCCCUUCUGACGAGUCGAGUUGUUUGGGAAUGCAGCUCUAAGUGGGUGGUAAAUUCCAUCUAAGGCUAAAUAUUGGCGAGAGACCGAUAGCGAACAAGUACUGUGAAGGAAAGAUGAAAAGCACUUUGAAAAGAGAGUGAAACAGCACGUGAAAUUGUUGAAAGGGAAGGGUAUUGGGCUCGACAUGGGAUUUACGCAUCGUUGCCUCUCGUGGGCGGCGCUCUGGGUUUUUCCUGGGCCAGCAUCGGUUUUCGUUGCAGGAUAAGGACAAUUGGAAUGUGGCUCCUCGGAGUGUUAUAGCCUUUUGUAGAUGCUGCGUAUGGGGACCGAGGGCUGCGGCGGACUCGUUUCGUCUCGGAUGCUGGCACAACGGCGCAAUACCGCCCGUCUUGAA
RNAcentral lists this ribosomal RNA (603 nucleotides) under Pichia kluyveri. Its description in RNAcentral is "partial large subunit ribosomal RNA". It matches the Rfam family "Eukaryotic large subunit ribosomal RNA", at positions 37 to 658 of the family's 3401-position model. The record is from RNAcentral. Lineage: Eukaryota; Fungi; Ascomycota; Pichiomycetes; Pichiales; Pichiaceae.